RNAcentral lists this small RNA (3327 nucleotides) under Rattus norvegicus (Norway rat). RNAcentral's name for it is "killer cell lectin-like receptor subfamily B member 1C (LOC100362418)". The record is from RNAcentral. Lineage: Eukaryota; Metazoa; Chordata; Mammalia; Rodentia; Muridae.
AUCAACUAAGCAGGGCUCAUAGAGGCUCACAGAGACUGAAGCAGCAAUCACAGAUCCUGCAUGGGUCCGCACUAGGCACUCUGUACGUAUGUUAUGGCUGUUAGCUUGGUGUUCUUCUGGGACUUCUAACAGUUGGAGUUGGAGUGUUUCUGACUCUUGCCUGUUCAUGGGACCCUUUUCCUCCUGUGGGGUUUCUUUAUCCAGCCUUAAUAAGAAGCUUUGUGCCUAUUCUUACUGUGUCUUGCUGUCCUGUAUUCAGUUGAUAUCACUGGGAGGCCUGCUCACUUCUAAAGGGAAACAAAGGUUCNAGUGGAUCUGGAGGAGUGGGGAGGUGGGGGUGAAACUGGGAGGAAAGAAGUGAAGGCUGUAGUCAGUAUGUUUUGUAUGAGAGAAGAAUACAGGAAAAGAAAAAAAGGCAUUAGUGUGCAAGCUGUGUGAGCAGGACAGACAGCAAGGUCAGUAACUAUGAAGGAACCCUCAGACACAAGAGCGGGUGGGUGUGGGCACCGAGCAGAACAUUUGCAGAGGACUUCCUUUUGCUCAUGUCGCCUCAAAGACCUUGGAGUUUGUCUCUGCUCACCAGUUCAGUGUUGCAGCAUCUCCCAUGUGCAAUGGACACAGCAAGGGUCUACCUUGGUUUAAAGCCAUCUAAGACUCCGGGGAUUCAGUGUGCAUCACCUCCAUCUCUUCCCCGAGCACUGAGCACUGGAGUUGGCACCCUGUGUGUCAGAAAUAAGGAAGGCUGACAGGAGGCGUGGAUGAAGGGUGCCAUGACUUAGGGAUGGAUGAAGAACAAACACAGAGGCAGAAAAUCUGUCUACAGUGGUCAUGAUGCCUGUCGGUGCCCACAUUCACACAGGUUGGCUCUGAAGCUCAGCUGCACUGGGCUGACCCUACUUGUCUUGACCCUGGUUGGGAUAAGAUGAGUGUUUUAGGUAAGUGAGGCAUGAACUUGCGCUUCAGAAUUCUUCCUCUGUUUCCUUCAUAAAUAUCUGUGCCUCUACACAUGAUAUGACCUCCUUGAUUCCUGGGGAGGAUCAAUGACGUGAGUAUGUCCAGGACAGUAUUCCAUAACCAGUGAGAAAUUUCACAUAUCCUUCAUGCUUCCAAAUUACCCAGAGACCCAUUAGAGGCUCUUACACACGAAAGGCUCUCUAAGAGACCCAAGCGUGACAAAGAUGGCGCCAGCAGAUUCUGUCCUUUCCCUGUCCCUCUCCCUUGCUAAAGCCCCCAAUGUCCAUUCCUUUAUUCAGCUACUUCCUAAUGCCUGACUUAUUCCUGAGGCUGAUCACUGAGGUCCAGCUUUCAAAGCAUCAAGGUCCCAUCAUCAAAAUCCAUUAUUCGACUAUUCUGACUAACGUGCCAAUCAGGACUUCCCAACGAAUCCUAGCACAGACUUCUCCUUUUUUUCCUUAAAAGCUCACUCUUGUAAAAACAUCUGAUGCUGUCUUUGCCUGAUCCAGAGGCAACCCCACCCUGAUCCCUCCAGAGUAAUAAAUGUUCUUUGUGCUGAGAAUUUGGUGUCUGGUGUGUUCUGAGCCAAGUGCCGCCAAUUUACACACUAUACACAUGCACUCGGAACCUAGAAAAAUAAGUUAUAAUUGUGACAAAAAUAUAACAAAGAAAACUGAAAGGCUCAAGUGUUUGGUUUAAGUGGCUUCUAAGCUCCGAUGGCACCAGCUGUCUUACAUGGAGAGGGUGUGCUAAUACUCAUUCUGAAGAUGAGGAUUCAGGUCAGUGCCAGUAAGUUAAGGGCUUCUGUAAGGCCAUUGGAUAGUAUGUGACUAAAUAGAGGUGCCAACCCAUGUGUUCUGUGUUUUUCUUCUUUGUUUGUUUAUAUAUUCUGUCUCCAAACUCCUCCCUAAGCCCAGUUUGCUAAUAUUUUAUUCUCAGUCCAGAAGUUCAGAUUUGUUUAACUAACUUGAUAUCCUGGAGUGAGAAUUGGAACACACCAUUUCCACCAUUCAUUUUGCCAUUAAUCCUCUGUUUUCUCAUUUAUCAGUGCGAGUCUUAAUACAAAAACCAUCAAUAGAAUCAUGCCGAGUGUUUAUUCAAGAGACCCUGGGUGAAACAACAGGUAAUUCUUGUGGCUUGAGUUUUGCAAGAAUGAUACUGAGGUUUACUAUUUACCAGGAGUUACGUCAGCCAAGGCUUAUAACAGUCAUCUGUGAAGACGAUAUCACCAUAUCUUAUGUUAGAGGAAAUUGCCUCAUAGAAACUUGAGGGUGUCAUGAUUGGUAGUUAAUAAGAAUGGAAACAUCACUGAAACUGUGUAACCUUGAAACCUGAGACAUUAACCACUUGGCUAUACUGCCUACUGAUGCUAGCCUACUUGAUUAUUAAGUUAAGAAAAAGCUCUAUGUCAAACAGGUAAAUUUGUCUAAAAUUAAUUAAUAGAAAAAGUGUAUUCCUUUCUAUUUAUAUUUGAUAUGUCAUAACAGUAAUCUUGUUUUCUGCAAAGGUUAAUAAAAGCGUGUGUUAGUAAAAACUGCCGUGUGUCUGUAGUGCAGCAAGAAGAGGGUGUAAUACACCAUGUCUUCCUCUCUCUCCAGAUAGUCCAACUAAGUUAAAGUGCCCAGAAGACUGGCUUUCACACCGAGAUAAAUGCUUUCGUGUUUUUGAAGCAUGUGAGUUUGUAAGGACAAUGGUCAUGCCAUUUCGAGAAGACAGAAUUUUAGGGUAAUUUUACAUUCUUUUCACCUGCUUCCUCCAUGAUGUUCUCUGGGUAGAAGUUAACAUGGACAUCCCUCUUCCAGCUGAGCACACACACUUACUCUCAGCACUUUGAUCAUUGCUGAUUACAAAGCUAUGGACAUAGAAAACAGUAUGACAUCUUGACCUUUUACCAAAUGAACAACAAUAGGUUCCUCUUUUGGGCCCAUGAUGCCCAUGGCCCUGGGUUUAAUACAUUUAUAGCACCAAGUGUGAGUUCCCUCCUGUAGAGUAGGAGAGCUCAAAUCCAAUAGGAAACCAGUUGUUUACCCUCCAUAACCCUCAUACCGGUAUUGUAUGGGUGAUUAUCUUGUGUGGCUGAUUGAUGUUGUAGGGCAAGAGUAGUGAUGGCUUCUUCCUCAGCAGCCGACACAGUGCCUUUCAGCAUUAUGAAAGUUUACUAUCAGCUUAGUAGUUUCCAGGUCAAUUCCAGAUUGGUUAAUUUUAUUCUGAAAAUAUGUGGUAUUUUCAGCAAUAGGGCCUUGCCUAAUAGUAAUUGUGUAAAAUCAAGAAUAAUAGCCUAUGUUGUUUUGAGGACUUCUGGGGUAUCCCUUACAAGAAUUUUACAGUAUAUCCCAUGUUUGGAACUGAGGUAUUAGACAAUAAUCAUAUACA